Molecule: unclassified non-coding RNA, 351 nt
Filed under: soil metagenome
Description: partial contains 5.8S ribosomal RNA, internal transcribed spacer 2, and large subunit ribosomal RNA
Rfam family: 5.8S ribosomal RNA (bases 1-120)
Source: RNAcentral
GAUGAAGAACGUAGUGAAAUGCGAUAAGUAAUGUGAAUUGCAGAAUUCAGUGAAUCAUCGAAUCUUUGAACGCACAUUGCGCCCGCCAGUAUUCUGGCGGGCAUGCCUGUUCGAGCGUCAUUACAACCCUCAGGCCCCCGGGCCUGGCGUUGGGGAUCGGCGGAGCCCCCCGUGGGCACACGCCGUCCCCCAAAUGCAGUGGCGGUCCCGCCGCAGCUUCCAUCGCGUAGUAGCUAACACCUCGCGACUGGAGAGCGGCGCGGCCACGCCGUAAAACACCCAACUUCUGAAUGUUGACCUCGGAUCAGGUAGGAAUACCCGCUGAACUUAAGCAUAUCAAUAAGCGGAGGA